RNAcentral lists this ribosomal RNA (293 nucleotides) under uncultured bacterium. RNAcentral's name for it is "partial 16S ribosomal RNA". It matches the Rfam family "Bacterial small subunit ribosomal RNA", at positions 505 to 796 of the family's 1533-position model. The record is from RNAcentral.
GUUUCAGCAGCCGCGGUAAUACGUAGGUGGCGAGCGUUGUCCGGAUUUACUGGGCGUAAAGCGCGCGUAGGUGGCUUGGCAAGUCCUGUCGUGAAAGGUUGCGGCCCAACUGCAACACUGCGGAGGAUACUGCCAGGCUUGAGGGCAGCAGAGGUCGGUGGAAUUCCCGGUGGAGUGGUGAAAUGCGUAGAUAUCGGGAGGAACACCAGAGGCGAAGGCGGCCGACUGGGCUGUACCUGACGCUGAGGCGCGAAAGCGUGGGGAGCGAACCGGAUUAGAAACCCGGGUAGUCC